This 393-nucleotide ribosomal RNA is filed under the name uncultured bacterium. Its description in RNAcentral is "bacterial SSU rRNA". It matches the Rfam family "Bacterial small subunit ribosomal RNA", at positions 29 to 413 of the family's 1533-position model. The record is from RNAcentral.
AAUGAACGCUGGCGGCGCGCCUAAUACAUGCAAGUCGAGCGAGAAGACGUAGCAAUACGUUUGUAAAGCGGCGAACGGGUGAGGAAUACAUGGGUAACCUACCCUCGAGUGGGGAAUAACUAGCCGAAAGGUUAGCUAAUACCGCGUACGCUUCUUGGACUUCGGUUCAGGGAGGAAAGCGAUGCCGAGGGUAUCGCGCUCUUGGAUGGGCUCAUGUCCUAUCAGCUUGUUGGGAGGUAACGGCUCACCAAGGCUUCGACGGGUAGCUGGUCUGAGAGGACGAUCAGCCACACUGGCACUGCGACACGGCCCAGACUCCUACGGGAGGCAGCAGUGGGGAAUUGUUCGCAAUGGGCGCAAGCCUGACGACGCAACGCCGCGUGGAGGAUGAAG